Long non-coding RNA from Schistocerca cancellata (South American locust), 369 nucleotides. RefSeq lists it as uncharacterized. The record is from RefSeq and is a predicted model, not a curated record. The transcript has 3 exons. NCBI's taxonomy places the organism in Eukaryota, Metazoa, Arthropoda, Insecta, Orthoptera, Acrididae.
CACACUUUUAACAUCAAUCUCAACAUUCUCAAAAAUCAUAAACCUUAGAAGCUGCAACAAAAGUAUUUAUAUUUCCAGGAAAAAAUCUCGUAUAAUAAUCAGAAAAGUAUUGAGGAGAGACAGAAUUAUUCACAAAAAGACAAUUUGUGGAUGGAGAAGACAAACCCAAGAAUACUCCUCCAAGGGAGAUGUUACUUGAAGAAUGGGCAUUACAUAAAACUGACUUGGACUUGCACUAAAUUUAUCCAUGUUCGACAAGAGAAAAAUUCAGAAUAGCACCUGAAAAAACACAAGGACCUUCAAGAACAGCAUGACGUUAUGUCUGGUCAAAAAUGGAAAGUGACGUGGACCUUGAUCAAGCGUGACUUC